UACGUAGGUGGCAAGCGUUGUCCGGAAUUAUUGGGCGUAAAGCGCGCGCAGGUGGUUUCUUAAGUCUGAUGUGAAAGCCCACGGCUCAACCGUGGAGGGUCAUUGGAAACUGGGGAACUUGAGUGCAGGAGAGAAGAGUGGAAUUCCACGUGUAGCGGUGAAAUGCGUAGAGAUGUGGAGGAACACCAGUGGCGAAGGCGACUCUUUGGCCUGUAACUGACACUGAGGCGCGAAAGCGUGGGGAGC
Molecule: ribosomal RNA, 246 nt
Filed under: uncultured bacterium
Lineage: Bacteria
Description: partial 16S ribosomal RNA
Rfam family: Bacterial small subunit ribosomal RNA
Source: RNAcentral